GGAGAGAUGGCCGAGUGGUUGAAGGCGACGGUCUUGAAAACCGCUAGGGGUGCAAGCUCCUCGGGGGUUCGAAUCCCUCUCUCUCCGCCA
Molecule: transfer RNA, 90 nt
Filed under: Candidatus Peregrinibacteria bacterium CG_4_10_14_0_2_um_filter_38_24
Lineage: Bacteria; Candidatus Peregrinibacteriota
Description: tRNA-Ser
Rfam family: tRNA
About the family: Transfer RNA (tRNA) molecules are approximately 80 nucleotides in length. Their secondary structure includes four short double-helical elements and three loops (D, anti-codon, and T loops).
Source: RNAcentral